RNAcentral lists this ribosomal RNA (253 nucleotides) under uncultured bacterium. RNAcentral's name for it is "partial 16S ribosomal RNA". It matches the Rfam family "Bacterial small subunit ribosomal RNA", at positions 524 to 776 of the family's 1533-position model. The record is from RNAcentral.
UACGAAGGGGGCUAGCGUUGCUCGGAAUCACUGGGCGUACCGCGCACGUAGGCGGAUUGUUAAGUCAGGGGUGAAAUCCUGGAGCUCAACUCCAGAACUGCCUUUGAUACUGGCGAUCUUGAGUCCGGGAGAGGUGAGUGGAACUGCGAGUGUAGAGGUGAAAUUCGUAGAUAUUCGCAAGAACACCAGUGGCGAAGGCGGCUCACUGGCCCGGUACUGACGCUGAGGUGCGAAAGCGUGGGGAGCAAACCGG